GGCAGUUCUCGGGUGACGCAUCCUGGAACUGGGUUCACUCCUCCCUGGUUCCGGGUGUGUCACCCGAGAACUGCA
This is a non-coding RNA of Myotis davidii, 75 nucleotides long. NCBI's taxonomy places the organism in Eukaryota, Metazoa, Chordata, Mammalia, Chiroptera, Vespertilionidae. The record is from Rfam.